AUGAACGCUGGCGGCGUGCCUAAUACAUGCAAGUCGAGCGAACAGACGAGGAGCUUGCUCCCCUGACGUUAGCGGCGGACGGGUGAGUAACACGUGGAUAACCUACCUAUAAGACUGGGAUAACUUCGGGAAACCGGAGCUAAUACCGGAUAACAUGUUGAACCGCAUGGUUCAACAGUGAAAGACGGUCUUGCUGUCACUUAUAGAUGGAUCCGCGCCGCAUUAGCUAGUUGGUAAGGUAACGGCUUACCAAGGCAACGAUGCGUAGCCGACCUGAGAGGGUGAUCGGCCACACUGGAACUGAGACACGGUCCAGACUCCUACGGGAGGCAGCAGUAGGGAAUCUUCCGCAAUGGGCGAAAGCCUGACGGAGCAACGCCGCGUGAGUGAAGAAGGUCUUCGGAUCGUAAAACUCUGUUAUUAGGGAAGAACAAAUGUGUAAGUAACUAUGCACGUCUUGACGGUACCUAAUCAGAAAGCCACGGCUAACUACGUG
RNAcentral lists this ribosomal RNA (496 nucleotides) under uncultured bacterium. RNAcentral's name for it is "partial 16S ribosomal RNA". It matches the Rfam family "Bacterial small subunit ribosomal RNA", at positions 29 to 507 of the family's 1533-position model. The record is from RNAcentral.